Epinephelus moara (kelp grouper) is the source of this 615-nucleotide long non-coding RNA. RefSeq lists it as uncharacterized. Lineage: Eukaryota; Metazoa; Chordata; Actinopteri; Perciformes; Serranidae. The transcript is spliced from 5 exons. The record is from RefSeq and is a predicted model, not a curated record.
AGAGGGGAGUUGCCGGACAGACAUCAAUGAAUUUGGGAGCAGUACGAUAGCAGCACCUAGUGGCCAUUAGUGGAAAUGCAGCUGAAGAAACUUGAGCAAUGACUUGACCAACUCCAUCAUCCUGCUGCCCUCAAAAGCCAACUGUACCAGCCAGUUUACUUCCACCAUGACGUAUUCUCCUGACGUCCAUCGCUGGCAGAGGAACUUCAUGAAGUUUAGAAACGACUGACUGUGACUCAAGGAGCAGUGACUAUGGUUCAAGACUGAAGCUGAAAAGAAAAUGCAGAACCACUGAUGCUCCGUACAGUCUAACUAUGGCUCCAAACAAAUCUUACAAGCCCCUCGUCUGUUGUAACACUCACAGAUACAGCAGCAGGACAGCAGUGAGGCGAUGCAGAGCAGAGACAGAGUGAUGGAGCUGGUGAUAACAGCGGAGCCGCCAUUGUCUUCACAGAGCUCAGACCAGGGUCUGAGUGUGUGUGUCUGGGGUUGUCACGAAACAGCUGGAGGGAACCUCCCUGGAAGUCAGUCUCUACAUAACUCUGACAAUAUGGUUUAUAAUAAUAUGCAUUGUAACUAAUAUUAAAAUUAAAAAGAACCCUGUAACAUCGUGAG